AUCUAAGUACCCCGAGGAAAAGAAAUCAACCGAGAUUCCCCCAGUAGCGGCGAGCGAACGGGGAGCAGCCCAGAGUCUGAAUCAGCUUGUGUGUUAGUGGAACGGUCUGGAAAGUCCGACGGUACAGGGUGAUAGUCCCGUACACCAAAAUGCACAGGUUGUGAACUCGAAGAGUAGGGCGGGACACGUGGUAUCCUGUCUGAAUAUGGGGGGACCAUCCUCCAAGGCUAAAUACUCCUGACUGACCGAUAGUGAACCAGUACCGUGAGGGAAAGGCGAAAAGAACCCCGGCGAGGGGAGUGAAAAAGAACCUGAAACCGUGUACGUACAAGCAGUGGGAGCACCUUCGGGUGUGACUGCGUACCUUUUGUAUAAUGGGUCAGCGACUUAUAUUCUGUAGCAAGGUUAACCGUAUAGGGGAGCCGCAGGGAAACCGAGUCUUAACUGGGCGUUAAGUUGCAGGGUAUAGACCCGAAACCCGGUGAUCUAGCCAUGGGCAGGUUGAAGGUUGGGUAACACUAACUGGAGGACCGAACCGACUAAUGUUGAAAAAUUAGCGGAUGACUUGUGGCUGGGGGUGAAAGGCCAAUCAAACCGGGAGAUAGCUGGUUCUCCCCGAAAGCUAUUUAGGUAGCGCCUCGUGAACUCAUCUUCGGGGGUAGAGCACUGUUUCGGCUAGGGGGUCAUCCCGACUUACCAACCCGAUGCAAACUACGAAUACCGAAGAAUGUUAUCACGGGAGACACACGGCGGGUGCUAACGUCCGUCGUGAAGAGGGAAACAACCCAGACCGCCAGCUAAGGUCCCAAAGUCAUGGUUAAGUGGGAAACGAUGUGGGAAGGCACAGACAGCCAGGAUGUUGGCUUAGAAGCAGCCAUCAUUUAAAGAAAGCGUAAUAGCUCACUGGUCGAGUCGGCCUGCGCGGAAGAUGUAACGGGGCUAAACCAUGCACCGAAGCUGCGGCAGCGACACUAUGUGUUGUUGGGUAGGGGAGCGUUCUGUAAGCCUGCGAAGGUGUGCUGUGAGGCAUGCUGGAGGUAUCAGAAGUGCGAAUGCUGACAUAAGUAACGAUAAAGCGGGUGAAAAGCCCGCUCGCCGGAAGACCAAGGGUUCCUGUCCAACGUUAAUCGGGGCAGGGUGAGUCGACCCCUAAGGCGAGGCCGAAAGGCGUAGUCGAUGGGAAACAGGUUAAUAUUCCUGUACUUGGUGUUACUGCGAAGGGGGGACGGAGAAGGCUAUGUUAGCCGGGCGACGGUUGUCCCGGUUUAAGCAUGUAGGCUGAUUGUCCAGGCAAAUCCGGAUAAUCAAGGCUGAGGUGUGAUGACGAGGCACUACGGUGCUGAAGUAACAAAUGCCCUGCUUCCAGGAAAAGCCUCUAAGCAUCAGGUAACAUUAAAUCGUACCCCAAACCGACACAGGUGGUCAGGUAGAGAAUACCAAGGCGCUUGAGAGAACUCGGGUGAAGGAACUAGGCAAAAUGGUGCCGUAACUUCGGGAGAAGGCACGCUGGUGUGUAGGUGAAGUCCCUGCGGAUGGAGCUGAGACCAGUCGAAGAUACCAGCUGGCUGCAACUGUUUAUUAAAAACACAGCACUGUGCAAACACGAAAGUGGACGUAUACGGUGUGACGCCUGCCCGGUGCCGGAAGGUUAAUUGAUGGGGUUAUCCGUAAGGAGAAGCUCUUGAUCGAAGCCCCGGUAAACGGCGGCCGUAACUAUAACGGUCCUAAGGUAGCGAAAUUCCUUGUCGGGUAAGUUCCGACCUGCACGAAUGGCGUAAUGAUGGCCAGGCUGUCUCCACCCGAGACUCAGUGAAAUUGAACUCGCUGUGAAGAUGCAGUGUACCCGCGGCAAGACGGAAAGACCCCGUGAACCUUUACUAUAGCUUGACACUGAACAUUGAGCCUUGAUGUGUAGGAUAGGUGGGAGGCUUUGAAGCGUGGACGCCAGUCUGCGUGGAGCCAACCUUGAAAUACCACCCUUUAAUGUUUGAUGUUCUAACGUUGGCCCCUGACCGGGGUUGCGGACAGUGUCUGGUGGGUAGUUUGACUGGGGCGGUCUCCUCCCAAAGCGUAACGGAGGAGCACGAAGGUUAGCUAAUCCUGGUCGGACAUCAGGAGGUUAGUGCAAUGGCAUAAGCUAGCUUGACUGCGAGCGUGACGGCGCGAGCAGGUGCGAAAGCAGGUCAUAGUGAUCCGGUGGUUCUGAAUGGAAGGGCCAUCGCUCAACGGAUAAAAGGUACUCCGGGGAUAACAGGCUGAUACCGCCCAAGAGUUCAUAUCGACGGCGGUGUUUGGCACCUCGAUGUCGGCUCAUCACAUCCUGGGGCUGAAGUAGGUCCCAAGGGUAUGGCUGUUCGCCAUUUAAAGUGGUACGCGAGCUGGGUUUAGAACGUCGUGAGACAGUUCGGUCCCUAUCUGCCGUGGGCGCUGGAGAAUUGAGGGGGGCUGCUCCUAGUACGAGAGGACCGGAGUGGACGCAUCACUGGUGUUCGGGUUGUCAUGCCAAUGGCACUGCCCGGUAGCUAAAUGCGGAAGAGAUAAGUGCUGAAAGCAUCUAAGCACGAAACUUGCCCCGAGAUGAGUUCUCCCUGAGACUUUAAGUCUCCUGAAGGAACGUUGAAGACGACGACGUUGAUAGGCCGGGUGUGUAAGCGCAGCGAUGCGUUGAGCUAACCGGUACUAAUGAACCGUGAGGCUUAACCUU
This 2704-nucleotide ribosomal RNA is filed under the name Klebsiella pneumoniae. RNAcentral's name for it is "bacterial LSU rRNA". It matches the Rfam family "Bacterial large subunit ribosomal RNA". The record is from RNAcentral. Lineage: Bacteria; Pseudomonadati; Pseudomonadota; Gammaproteobacteria; Enterobacterales; Enterobacteriaceae.